Molecule: ribosomal RNA, 465 nt
Filed under: Charonia variegata
Lineage: Eukaryota; Metazoa; Mollusca; Gastropoda; Littorinimorpha; Ranellidae
Description: partial 16S ribosomal RNA
Rfam family: Bacterial large subunit ribosomal RNA
Source: RNAcentral
AAAUUUAAACGGCCGCGGUACUCUGACCGUGCAAAGGUAGCAUAAUCAUUUGCCCUAUAAUUGAGGGCUAGUAUGAAUGGUUUGACAAGAAUGAAACUGUCUCCCUACAAUUAUAUAGAACUUUAUUUUCAGGUGAAGAAGCCUGAAUAGAAUUAAAAGACAAGAAGACCCUAUCGAGCUUAAAAUAAAUUAAUGAAUUAAUAUAAAUAAUAAUUAAAACAACAUUCAUUAUAAAUUUUAGUUGGGGCGACGGAGGAACAUUAAAAGCUUCUUUUAGGUUUAAAUUACCAGACGAGUGUAGAUCCAGGAAAUUCUGAUCAAAGGAAUUAGUUACCGUAGGGAUAACAGCAUUAUCUUUUUUGAGAGCCCAUAUCGAAAAAAAGGUUUGUGACCUCGAUGUUGGACCAGAAUAUCCUAAAGAUGCAGAAGUCUUUAAGGGUUGGUCUGUUCGACCAUUAAAAUUCU